UGCAGCAACGCCGCGUGAGUGAUGACGGUCUUCGGAUUGUAAAGCUCUGUCUUUAGGGACGAUAAUGACGGUACCUAAGGAGGAAGCCACGGCUAACUACGUGCCAGCAGCCGCGGUAAUACGUAGGUGGCAAGCGUUGUCCGGAUUUACUGGGCGUAAAGGGAGCGUAGGUGGAUAUUUAAGUGGGAUGUGAAAUACCCGGGCUUAACCUGGGUGCUGCAUUCCAAACUGGAUAUCUAGAGUGCAGGAGAGGAAAGGAGAAUUCCUAGU
Molecule: ribosomal RNA, 270 nt
Filed under: uncultured Clostridium sp.
Lineage: Bacteria; Bacillati; Bacillota; Clostridia; Eubacteriales; Clostridiaceae
Description: partial 16S ribosomal RNA
Rfam family: Bacterial small subunit ribosomal RNA
Source: RNAcentral